This 71-nucleotide transfer RNA is filed under the name human oral metagenome. It matches the Rfam family "tRNA". From Rfam's summary of the family: Transfer RNA (tRNA) molecules are approximately 80 nucleotides in length. Their secondary structure includes four short double-helical elements and three loops (D, anti-codon, and T loops). The record is from RNAcentral.
AUCUUUAGCUCAGUUGGCUAGAGCGCACGAUUCACAUUCGUGAGGUCGCAGGUUCGAAUCCUGCAAGAUCC